AGUAACGCGUAAGAACUUGCCCUUUAGACUGGGAUAACAGAGGGAAACUUCUGAUAAUACUGGAUAAGUUAGUAUAUCGCAUGAUAUGCAAAAUGAAAGCUACGGCACUAAAGGAGAGCUUUGCGUCCUAUUAGCUAGUUGGUAAGGUAAGAGCUUACCAAGGCGAUGAUAGGUAGCCGGCCUGAGAGGGUGGACGGCCACAAGGGGACUGAGAUACGGCCCUUACUCCUACGGGAGGCAGCAGGC
RNAcentral lists this ribosomal RNA (246 nucleotides) under uncultured Leptotrichia sp. Its description in RNAcentral is "partial 16S ribosomal RNA". It matches the Rfam family "Bacterial small subunit ribosomal RNA", at positions 109 to 354 of the family's 1533-position model. The record is from RNAcentral. Lineage: Bacteria; Fusobacteriati; Fusobacteriota; Fusobacteriia; Fusobacteriales; Leptotrichiaceae.